GUAAAGCCACCCUUUAUAACUAGGCUUUUUGCACAAGUCACAUUCGAAAUCAUAAGGAGGACAGAAUUCCAAGUCCAGUUUAUGGCAAUGAGAUGACAUUUCAAUCGAAAGAGGUAAUGCUAAUAAACAUAGUGUGUGAUAAUAAGUAGAGCAGUUGGCACACGCGUAAGAAAAUCCCAAGAUUUCUUUUCUACACGCGUUGCAUUUUGAUGAAGAAG
This 218-nucleotide unclassified non-coding RNA is filed under the name Hevea brasiliensis (rubber tree). Lineage: Eukaryota; Viridiplantae; Streptophyta; Magnoliopsida; Malpighiales; Euphorbiaceae. The record is from RNAcentral.